RNAcentral lists this unclassified non-coding RNA (379 nucleotides) under uncultured bacterium. RNAcentral describes it as "contains 16S-23S intergenic spacer region". The record is from RNAcentral.
UCCGGUUUGUCACCGGCAGUCUCCUAUGAGUCCCCAACUGAAUGCUGGCAACAUAGGACAGGGGUUGCGCUCGUUGCGGGACUUAAGGCAACACCUCACGGCACGAGCUGACGACAGCCGUGCAGCACCUGUGUUCAGGCUCCCUUUCGGGCACUCCCCCGUUUCUGGAGGAUUCCUGACAUGUCAAGGGUAGGUAAGGUUUUUCGCGUUGCAUCGAAUUGAACCACAUGCUCCACCGCUUGUGCGGGCCCCCGUCAAUUCCUUUGAGUUUCAGCCUUGCGGCCGUACUCCCCAGGCGGGACACUUACUGCGUUAGCGACGGCACCGGGAGGGUCGCUCCCCCCGACGCCUAGUGUCCAUCGUUUACGGCGUGGACUAC